GCAGGCUGCAACCCGCCUGCAUGAAGUUGGAAUCGCUAGUAAUCGCGGAUCAGCAUGCCGCGGUGAAUACGUUCCCGGGCCUUGUACACACCGCCCGUCACACCAUGAGAGUCGGGAACACCCGAAGUCCGUAGUCUGACCGCAAGGGGGACGCGGCCGAAGGUGGGUUCGAUAAUUGGGGUGAAGUCGUAACAAGGUACC
This 201-nucleotide ribosomal RNA is filed under the name uncultured bacterium. Its description in RNAcentral is "partial 16S ribosomal RNA". It matches the Rfam family "Bacterial small subunit ribosomal RNA", at positions 1300 to 1500 of the family's 1533-position model. The record is from RNAcentral.